This 473-nucleotide ribosomal RNA is filed under the name uncultured bacterium. RNAcentral describes it as "bacterial SSU rRNA". It matches the Rfam family "Bacterial small subunit ribosomal RNA", at positions 444 to 917 of the family's 1533-position model. The record is from RNAcentral.
GACGAAAAAAGGUCUUUCUAGACCCCUUGACGGUACCAUAUGAAUAAGCACCGGCUAACUCCGUGCCAGCAGCCGCGGUAAUACGGAGGGUGCAAGCGUUAUCCGGAUUCACUGGGUUUAAAGGGUGCGUAGGCGGGUAGGUAAGUCAGUGGUGAAAUCCUGGAGCUCAACUCCAGAACUGCCAUUGAUACUAUCUAUCUUGAAUAUUGUGGAGGUAAGCGGAAUAUGUCAUGUAGCGGUGAAAUGCUUAGAUAUGACAUAGAACACCCAUUGCGAAGGCAGCUUACUACGCAUAUAUUGACGCUGAGGCACGAAAGCGUGGGGAUCAAACAGGAUUAGAUACCCUGGUAGUCCACGCCCUAAACUAUGGAUACUCGACAUAUGCGAUACACUGUAUGUGUCUGAGCGAAAGCAUUAAGUAUCCCACCUGGGAAGUACGUUCGCAAGAAUGAAACUCAAAGGGAAUUGACGGA